CGGAUAGUUCGUUAGUCGAAAAUACUGAAUAAUUAAACAAACCAAAUGGCAUCACUGGUGGUUCUUUUUUCCACUCCGCUAAACUGUCAUCUCAAACAAAAACAAAUGGAUCAUACAACUGCUAUGAAUACAUUCGACUCGUUUGCUUCCAUCAAUCGGUAAGUGAGAAAGAUGAUUUCUCCCAUCAGUGCGGAUUUCCACUUCUAUCACAGCAGCCAACAACAUCCGUUUUCCUGCAGCAGUAACCUUCAACCCCUGUUGUCAAUGCCGGGGGACAGCAUCAACAGCAGCAGCAGCAGAAUUUGACCAUGGUAUGGUAUUGCGAAGAACUUUCCCCAUUAGAGGUUCCGUGCUUCGCGCACAUUCAAAAUCCUCUUCAGACACGAAAACUCAACGACAAGGAGGUAUUUAUCAACUUGCUCAGCUGAAUUACCACCCGGAGGAACCCGAAUGCACUGAUUCCGUUGUAUAGUAGAAUGAAAAUAGGCGAGGUAAGCGAACGUAAUCGCAUGAUAUUUUAAUAGUUCGCAUUUUUAUCCGGAUCAUACAACUGCUAUGAAUACAUCCGACUCAAUCAAUCGGCGAGUGAGAAAGAUGAUUUCCCUCAUCACCACAUUGCUUAUUUCCACUUCUGUCACGCCAGCCAACAGCAUCAGCUUUCCCGCAGCAGUAUCCUUUAAGUCCAGGGUGCUAUUCCGGGGAACAGCAUCAUCAGUAACAGCAGCAGGACCUGGCCAUCGAUAGUAUUUCGAGCAAUUUUCCCCAUCGGAGAUCCCGUGCUUCACGCACAUUGAAGAAACCUCCUCAGCCACAUAUGUAUGUCAAGGAGAAAAAGGAGCUGGAUUCGAAUCGUCAAUCCAGACAAC
Long non-coding RNA from Toxorhynchites rutilus septentrionalis, 866 nucleotides. RefSeq lists it as uncharacterized. NCBI's taxonomy places the organism in Eukaryota, Metazoa, Arthropoda, Insecta, Diptera, Culicidae. The transcript is spliced from 3 exons. The record is from RefSeq and is a predicted model, not a curated record.